CCCCACUGCUAUCGGGGUGGGACUAAAACAUGCAAGUCGAGCGCCUUCAAGCUAUGGUGAAGGCGCGGCAAACGGCUCAGUAACACGUGGCCAACCUACCCUUGGGACAGAGACAACCCCGGGAAACUGGGGCUAAUCCCCGAUAGGUAAGGAAUCCUGGAAUGGAUCUUUGCUGAAAGGGCGUCUAGACCAUGCUUCUUGACGUCGCCCAAGGAUGGAGCCGCGGCCGAUCAGGUAGUUGGCGAGGCAACGGCUCACCAAGCCUAUAACCGGUACGGGCCGUGAGAGCGGUAGCCCGGAGAUGGGCACUGAGACAAGGGCCCAGGCCCCACGGGGCGCAGCAGUUGCGAAAACUCCGCAAUGCGCGAAAGCGUGACGGGGCUACCCCGAGUGCCGCCCGUUGAGGGCGGCUUUUCCAUGGUGUAAGGAGCCGUGGGAGUAAGGAGAGGGCAAGACUGGUGUCAGCCGCCGCGGUAAUACCAGCUCUCCGAGUGGUGGGGACGAUUAUUGGGCUUAAAGCGUUCGUAGCCGGCUUAACAAGUCUUCCGUUAAAUCCAACGAUCUAAUCGUUGGGCUGCGGGAGAUACUGUUGGGCUAGGAGGCGGGAGAAGCCGACGGUAUUCCCGGGGUAGGGGUGAAAUCCUGUAAUCCCGGAAGGACCACCAGUGGCGAAGGCGGUCGGCUAGAACGCGCUCGACGGUGAGGGACGAAAGCUGGGGGAGCGAACCGGAUUAGAAACCCGGAUAGUCCCAGCUGUAAACGAUGCGGGCUAGGUGUUGGGGUGGCCAUGAGCCACCUCAGUGCCGCAUGGAAGCAAUUAAGCCCGCCGCCUGGGGAGUACGGCCGCAAGGCUGAAACUUAAAGGAAUUGGCGGGGGAGCACCACAAGGCGUGAAGCUUGCGGUUUAAUUGGAUUCAACGCCGG
RNAcentral lists this ribosomal RNA (924 nucleotides) under uncultured archaeon. RNAcentral's name for it is "bacterial SSU rRNA". It matches the Rfam family "Archaeal small subunit ribosomal RNA", at positions 21 to 921 of the family's 1478-position model. The record is from RNAcentral.